RNAcentral lists this long non-coding RNA (769 nucleotides) under Monodelphis domestica (gray short-tailed opossum). Its description in RNAcentral is "lncRNA (ENSMODG00000038790.1)". The record is from RNAcentral. Lineage: Eukaryota; Metazoa; Chordata; Mammalia; Didelphimorphia; Didelphidae.
UCUUGAAUUCAGAUCUGCCCUCACACAUAUACUAGCUGUGUGAUCUUGGGCAAGUCAUUUAUCCCUAUUUGUCUCAGUUUCCUCAUGUGUAAAGUAAUCCGGAGAAGGAAAUGACAAACCACUACAUGAUCUUUGCCAUGAAAACCCCAAAUGAUGUCACAAAGUAUCUGACACAUCUGAGAAACUACUGAGCAACAACAAAUACAGUGGACUAGGAUGCUGGAAAUGAAGAGGGUGAGUUAAGCUCUGCACAUUCUCACAACUUCAAAAAGGACUGUAAUAAUUAAGGAAGAUGUGGUGAAGACAUGGAAGGCAGGGUUCAGUAACAGGGGCUGGUUUUACCAGAAAUGUAAAGGUAACCCCAAGGGAAGAUGAAGAAAAUGUCAUCAACUCCUGACCCUGCAGCCCCUUCCAUGAUGGUGUUCCCAGUGACAAAAAAAAGCCAGGGGACCACAGAUGAAGAUGCUACUGUCAGAACACUGGAGCUAAAAAGACCCUUUCACAGCAUCUAGUUGAACCUCCUUAUUUAAAUACAAAGAAACUGAAACCCAGAAAAGCUAUGAACCUUGGUAAAAGUCACAAAGAUGGGAAGUAAGAUAGUUUGGAUUCAAAUUCAAGUCUCUUUCGGGCUCUACAUCCAGUGGUCCUUGAGAGUCAGAUCCUUAGUGACAAAAUGACUUCCAAUUUCAUAUAAUGUGCAUCAACCCAUGAAUGCAAAUUUUUUUUGGGGGGGUUGUCUGUGUGUAGACUAAAGAGUUCUUAACUUGGA